RNAcentral lists this ribosomal RNA (301 nucleotides) under uncultured bacterium. Its description in RNAcentral is "partial 16S ribosomal RNA". It matches the Rfam family "Bacterial small subunit ribosomal RNA", at positions 509 to 809 of the family's 1533-position model. The record is from RNAcentral.
CAGCAGCCACGGUAAAACGGAGGGUGCUAGCGUUGUUCGGAAUCACUGGGCGUAAAGGGCGCGUAGGCGGCCUGUUAAGUCGGAUGUGAAAGCCCGGGGCUCAACCCCGGAACUGCAUCCGAGACUGGCAGGCUUGAGACCGGGAGAGGAGGGUGGAAUAUCCAGUGUAGAGGUGAAAUUCGUAGAUAUUGGAUGGAACACCGGUGGCGAAAGCGGCUCUCUGGCCCGGAUCUGACGCUGAGGCGCGAAAGCGUGGGGAGCAAACAGGAUUAGAUACCCCUGUAGUCCCUGUCUCUUAUAA